AUGAACGCUGGCGGCGUGCCUAAUCCAUGCAAGUCGAGCGAACAGACGAGGAGCUUGCUCCUCUGACGUUAGCGGCGGACGGGUGAGUAACACGUGGAUAACCUACCUAUAAGACUGGGAUAACUUCGGGAAACCGGAGCUAAUACCGGAUAAUAUAUUGAACCGCAUGGUUCAAUAGUGAAAGACGGUUUUGCUGUCACUUAUAGAUGGAUCCGCGCCGCAUUAGCUAGUUGGUAAGGUAACGGCUUACUAAGGCAACGAGGCGUAGCCGACCUGAGAGGGUGAUCGGCCACACUAGAACGGAGACACGGUCCAGACUCCUACGGGAGGCAGCAGUAGGGAAUCUUCCGCAAUGGGCGAAAGCCUGACGGAGCAACGCCGCGUGAGUGAUGAAGGUCUUCGGAUCGUAAAACUCUGUUAUUAGGGAAGAACAAAUGUGUAAGUAACUAUGCACGUCUUGACGGUACCUAAUCAGAAAGCCACGGCUAACUACGUG
Molecule: ribosomal RNA, 496 nt
Filed under: uncultured bacterium
Lineage: Bacteria
Description: partial 16S ribosomal RNA
Rfam family: Bacterial small subunit ribosomal RNA
Source: RNAcentral